Molecule: ribosomal RNA, 255 nt
Filed under: Escherichia coli
Lineage: Bacteria; Pseudomonadati; Pseudomonadota; Gammaproteobacteria; Enterobacterales; Enterobacteriaceae
Description: partial 23S ribosomal RNA
Rfam family: Bacterial large subunit ribosomal RNA
Source: RNAcentral
ACCCCAAACCGACACAGGUGGUCAGGUAGAGAAUACCAAGGCGCUUGAGAGAACUCGGGUGAAGGAACUAGGCAAAAUGGUGCCGUAACUUCGGGAGAAGGCACGCUGAUAUGUAGGUGAAGCGACUUGCUCGUGGAGCUGAAAUCAGUCGAAGAUACCAGCUGGCUGCAACUGUUUAUUAAAAACACAGCACUGUGCAAACACGAAAGUGGACGUAUACGGUGUGACGCCUGCCCGGUGCCGGAAGGUUAAUUG